This 909-nucleotide non-coding RNA is filed under the name Entomacrodus caudofasciatus (tail-barred rockskipper). Its description in RNAcentral is "partial 12S rRNA". It matches the Rfam family "Bacterial small subunit ribosomal RNA". Lineage: Eukaryota; Metazoa; Chordata; Actinopteri; Blenniiformes; Blenniidae. The record is from RNAcentral.
UUACACAUGCAAGCAUCCGCAUCCCUGUGAGAAUGCCCAAUAGUCCCCUUUCCUGGGACAAGGAGCAGGUAUCAGGCACACUCCAAUGUAGCCCACUACGCCUUGCUUAGCCACACCCCCAAGGGACAACAGCAGUGAUAAACAUUAAGCCAUGAGCGAAAGCUUGACUUAGUUAAGGCUAGUCUUAGGGCCGGUAAAACUCGUGCCAGCCACCGCGGUUAUACGAGAGGCCCGAGAUGACAGACCCUCGGCGUAAAGAGUGGUUAGAUUUGAUUGUAACUAUAGCCGAACUUUCUCAAAACUGUUAUACGCCCUUGAGGAAAGGAAUUUCUUCUACGAAAGUGGCUUUAUUCCAUUGAACCCACGAAAGCUAAGGCACAAACUGGGAUUAGAUACCCCACUAUGCUUAGCCUUAAACACAGAUGCCCCAUUUACACAUAUCAUCCGCCUGGGAACUACGAGCACUAGCUUGAAACCCAAAGGACUUGGCGGUGCUUAAUAACCCCCUAGAGGAGCCUGUUCUAGAACCGAUAACCCUCGUUAAACCUCACCCUUUCUUGCUUAUUCCGCCUAUAUACCGCCGUCGUCAGCUUACCCUAUGAAGGUAAAAUAGUAAGCAAAACUAGUACAACUUAAAACGUCAGGUCGAGGUGUAGCGAAUGAAAGGGGAAGAAAUGGGCUACAUUUCCUGUAAGCAGGAAAGACGAAAAGUGUAAUGAAACUCACACUAGAAGGAGGAUUUAGUAGUAAGAAGGGAAUAGAGCGCCCUUCUGAAAACGGCCCUUAAGCGCGCACACACCGCCCGUCACUCUCCCCAAGCUGGCAAAAAAUUUUCCUAAAAAACUAAAACAGUAAAGGGGAGGCAAGUCGUAACAUGGUAAGCAUACCGGAAGGUGUGCUUGGAAAAAC